This 354-nucleotide ribosomal RNA is filed under the name Mesobacillus persicus. RNAcentral describes it as "bacterial LSU rRNA". It matches the Rfam family "Bacterial large subunit ribosomal RNA", at positions 2572 to 2925 of the family's 2925-position model. The record is from RNAcentral. Lineage: Bacteria; Bacillati; Bacillota; Bacilli; Caryophanales; Bacillaceae.
UGGGCUGUUCGCCCAUUAAAGCGGUACGCGAGCUGGGUUCAGAACGUCGUGAGACAGUUCGGUCCCUAUCCGUCGUGGGCGCAGGAAAUUUGAGAGGAGCUGUCCUUAGUACGAGAGGACCGGGAUGGACGCACCGCUGGUGUACCAGUUGUCUUGCCAAAGGCAUCGCUGGGUAGCUAUGUGCGGACGGGAUAAGUGCUGAAAGCAUCUAAGCAUGAAGCCCCCCUCAAGAUGAGAUUUCCCAUAGCGCAAGCUAGUAAGAUCCCUGAAAGAUGAUCAGGUUGAUAGGUCAGAGGUGGAAGCGCGGUGACGUGUGGAGCUGACUGAUACUAAUCGAUCGAGGACUUAACCUUA